Molecule: long non-coding RNA, 440 nt
Filed under: Malus domestica (apple)
Lineage: Eukaryota; Viridiplantae; Streptophyta; Magnoliopsida; Rosales; Rosaceae
Description: long non-coding RNA (MDOM_LNC007917)
Source: RNAcentral
UUGUAUAGGCAAGGAGAAGAUAGCGUUGAAAGAGACGGGAUAAUGGGAUUUGAAGAGUUUAAACUUUUAAAACUUAUUUUGUUGUUUAGGUUGAUAAUAAUUUUACGAAAAGGGUAAUGAUAGGAAGAUUAAAUUUAUAAACUAAAUUAUGUGGUUGUUGAUGAUUGGAUUAUUACUUAAGUAUUGAUUAAUUCAUAUAUGUGACACAUUAUUUAGUUUGUAAUUUAAUUUAAAAUUUUAUUCUACGUAGCAUGUCAAAGUUUUAUUAUAAAAUUAAUAUGAAGUGCAGGCACUCAACAUACAUGAUCUUUUUUCGAGUUCUUGACAUGAGAUUUAGGAUAAAAUUAGGAAAACCAAAUUCUUAAACUAAAUUUGCAAACCAAAUGACAUGUCAUCAAUAAGAGAAAAAAACACAUUAAUCGAUACUUAAUCAAUAAUCU